GGGGAUGUAGCUCAGUGAUAGAGCACUUGCCUAGCAAGCAUGAGGCCCUGGAUUAUUCCACCCCCA
Molecule: transfer RNA, 66 nt
Filed under: Urocitellus parryii (Arctic ground squirrel)
Lineage: Eukaryota; Metazoa; Chordata; Mammalia; Rodentia; Sciuridae
Also listed under: 1 other name
Description: Spermophilus parryii (Arctic ground squirrel) tRNA
Rfam family: tRNA
About the family: Transfer RNA (tRNA) molecules are approximately 80 nucleotides in length.
Source: Rfam by way of RNAcentral